GCUGGGCAUGGUGAUGCAUGCCUGUAGUCUCAGCUACUCCAGAGGCUGAGUGGGGAGGAUUGCUUGAACACAUGAGGUUAAGGCUGCAGUGAGCUAUAAUUGCACCACUGCACUCUAGCCUGGGUGACAGAGCAAGACCCUGUCUCUU
This is a non-coding RNA of Pan troglodytes (chimpanzee), 148 nucleotides long. It matches the Rfam family "Metazoan signal recognition particle RNA". Rfam says of the family: The signal recognition particle (SRP) is a universally conserved ribonucleoprotein. It is involved in the co-translational targeting of proteins to membranes. The eukaryotic SRP consists of a 300-nucleotide 7S RNA and six proteins: SRPs 72, 68, 54, 19, 14, and 9. NCBI's taxonomy places the organism in Eukaryota, Metazoa, Chordata, Mammalia, Primates, Hominidae. The record is from Rfam.